AGGAACACGAGUUAGAGCUUGAUAGGAAGCAUUUCAUUUACACUGAAAAUUUAAUUGUGCAAUUCAGUUUAACUUG
RNAcentral lists this transfer RNA (76 nucleotides) under Macrodiplax balteata. RNAcentral describes it as "tRNA-Val". It matches the Rfam family "tRNA". From Rfam's summary of the family: Transfer RNA (tRNA) molecules are approximately 80 nucleotides in length. Their secondary structure includes four short double-helical elements and three loops (D, anti-codon, and T loops). Lineage: Eukaryota; Metazoa; Arthropoda; Insecta; Odonata; Libellulidae. The record is from RNAcentral.